RNAcentral lists this ribosomal RNA (495 nucleotides) under uncultured bacterium. RNAcentral's name for it is "partial 16S ribosomal RNA". It matches the Rfam family "Bacterial small subunit ribosomal RNA", at positions 28 to 507 of the family's 1533-position model. The record is from RNAcentral.
GACGAACGCUGGCGGCGUGCCUAAUACAUGCAAGUAGAACGCUGAAGGAGGAGCUUGCUUCUCUGCAUGAGUUGCGAACGGGUGAGUAACGCGUAGGUAACCUGCCUGGUAGCGGGGGAUAACUAUUGGAAACGAUAGCUAAUACCGCAUAAGAGUAGAUGUUGCAUGACAUUUGCUUAAAAGGUGCAAUUGCAUCACUACCAGAUGGACCUGCGUUGUAUUAGCUAGUUGGUGGGGUAACGGCUCACCAAGGCGACGAUACAUAGCCGACCUGAGAGGGUGAGCGGCCACACUGGGACUGAGACACGGCCCAGACUCCUACGGGAGGCAGCAGUAGGGAAUCUUCGGCAAUGGACGGAAGUCUGACCGAGCAACGCCGCGUGAGUGAAGAAGGUUUUCGGAUCGUAAAGCUCUGUUGUAAGAGAAGAACGAGUGUGAGAGUGGAAAGUUCACACUGUGACGGUAUCUUACCAGAAAGGGACGGCUAACUACGUG